Molecule: non-coding RNA, 100 nt
Organism: Sordaria brevicollis
Lineage: Eukaryota; Fungi; Ascomycota; Sordariomycetes; Sordariales; Sordariaceae
Source: the annotation of a GenBank genome assembly
GCCCGGCUGGCGCAAUCGGUAGCGCGCAAGACUUCUAAUUCUCCGAUUCGAGAUCAAAUUUGCAAUCUUGAGGCUGUGGGUUCGAGUCCCACGUUGGGCU